CUUUCUCUUUCUGCGGCCUUGUCAGCUGCAGUCCAUAUGAUCUGAAUUCCUCUGUUGAUUUUGUAGGCCGCUGUAUUUAUCUUUUUGACUCCUGGUCGCGUCAGAGGAUCAUUAGUAGGAAGCUCAUUUUGUGGAGCCCUUUCUGGUUCUGUUAGGAAUAAGAAUAACAAAUUCGGUGGAGGCAGCUGAAUGUCAACAGAUGAAGUCCUACACAUACGCUCAUGCCCACACAUUAUCUUUUUUCUCAUUUAUUAGUAACUAGUGAUUUUAGAGCAGUAAAUGGCAAGUAAUGCACUUAUUUCUUCCCAAAUAUUAUUUUAAUAAGGCAGUUGGCUUGUUUAAUCACACUAAACAUUAAGUGUUAACUGUAUAUCCCAGGGGACCUAAAUACAUCUCAUCAACGAUUGUGGUGUCUGUGUCUACUAUUGACCAUGUUAAGCAACCAACUGUCCCGUCCCUUAAACCCUCUGCUGUAUUCCUCUCGUCCCUGCCACGUCCCCAAAGUGUCUAGGAAGAGAGGCUGUUUUUUCUCCUUUGGGACAGGCUGGUGCCAGAGAAAGCGCUGUUGGGCAAAGCCCCCCCCCUCAACCUCACCACCCCGGAAAGCAAACCACAAACAAACCCGCCGGGGCCCCUGGCACCAAUACAACCACAGGCCUCAGCCCCAUAGUCUGCCUCGGUCAGCUGACUGUCUGUGUGUAUAUAUGAUUGUUUAGGGUGAGUAAAAAAAGAAAAGAUUGUAAGUCAGUAGAAGGAUUUUGAUUCAGAUUUCACCAGCGCAAAUGUUGUGGUUCAAGAUAUUUUUUACUGUAGCAGAAUGCAAAUAGGAUUGUCCUGCUACAGUUAACUGCGCCUGCCGACCACUAGGGCGGCGGUAGUAUAUAAAGGCUGCCCCCCUUCUCGCGCCCCACUGAUCGCAUCAUUUCCGGUUCAGGUGUCUGUCUGCGCAGAGUAGCGACAGAGUGCUCCGUGCACCGUGCUGCUUUUUGCUCUUUGAUCCUCUCAACCGGUGGUAGAUGUCUUCCUGCCGUCUGGGUCUUUCUCGCCCUCCCUCUCCCUGUGCAGGUUUGACCUGGGAAACCGGGAAUGCUCAUCAGCUGGCCGAAAUCCACAGGUGGUGAUUGAUGUGACCGCACUCAGUUGAUUGGGGCCACUGCUGCUUUGCCUGCUGCUAAAUGCAACUUUGCCUGCUGCUAAAUGCAACUUUGCCUGCUGCUAAAUGCAACUUUGUCGGUAACUGUCUGCACUGUUAAAUGCUGCUAAGUGCACAGUUUGGUCUCCGCCACGACGUACCUAGCGUGUCUAUUGGACCUGUGUAGUUCUUUGAUUCUAGCUGACUGAGUAGUUAAUCCUUUAGUUUGUAUUUCUUUUGGUUUGUUUCCCUUAUUUUCUUUUUGUUUCGGUUACGUGAAUUGUUUGAUUAGGACGAUUUUUAUGUGAACUGUUCUGUGUUGUACAUUUUUGGUUUAAUUCUCUUGUAACCUUCUUUUUUUGGUUAUCCUUCCUAGCGGCCGUAGGCUGGUGGUGGUGGUGGUGGCGUGGGUGGUGGUGGUCUUCCUCGUGUGUCGAGUCCCAUUGGAUUUUUGUGCUAUCACUGGGUGAACUCUGUUUUGUUUUCUCAAAGUUCGUUUUAUUAAUUUGCCUUCCCCUUCACCGGCCCUUCUCACCUUUAGGCCUUAGCGAUUAGUUUUCUUUUCUUUUGUGAUGAAUGUUAGAUUUUAUGGUAAUGUAUAUUUAUUGAAUAAAAAUGCUUUUGUAAAUUGGGAACCACGAGCCCUUGCCUACUGAGUGGAACGAACCUGUGUGCUUUAAAAGGUCUUGGGCCUAUCCCAAGUGGCGUUGUCGGAAAUCUUAAAAUCCGAGUGUUUUCUCCGUGUCCAUCAGCAAACGCCACAAUACAAUAAUACUAAUAAGUCACUAAUAAUACUAAUCCCGAGCUUCAUUGAAAUAAAAAGAACAAAACUGUAAUGCAGCAACUGUAGUGGCUGGGCAUACGAAAAGACACAAGCUUUUCAUUCAAAGAGAGCCGUGAUCUCAAUGCUUAUGCUAGCAUUGUUAUUAACAGAUAUUUGCCGAUGUAUGCAGAACAGGCAAAGAUUGUGGUGUGGGGAGUGUUUAUUUUUUUCUGUAGUCAAAUUGGGUAUGGGCAGACUUUUGUUGCAUACGUUUCAGUCAAAGCCCACCUGUAAUGUGGGAACUCUGCUGAAAUGUGUCACGAUCAUGCUUGGCUGUUUUUCUAUUUUUCAGAGUCUUAGGUGAGGGCGGGGCAGGUUUCCUGGGUCGGAGGCUGGAUCACUCCCGCCAUCACAUCUGUUAAUCAUCGACCCUCGUCUGAACACCCUUAAGGAUCUGCAGGAGCUCUAGUCUUUGCCAGAUUAUUCUUCUAGACUGUCAAGCUCCCGUUGCCGAAAUCUGCUACAUGUUUGGAGCCUUCACUGCCUUCAGUUUCACUCCCUGCCUGCUCGCCCCACCAGACUCUAGCCUCAGCAUACAGCCAGCACCCCCCUCUCCUAUCUGGACUCUCUUCUACUGCAUGCCCCUCCUUUCCUGAAGAUCUACAACAUUUCUACCUCUGCCUACAGUGUCUGCAUUUGGGCCCUCACAUUACAGGGGACGGCUAGUCGAGCUAGCCAUGACACAAUGUGAAGACAUUAUGCUUUUAAGCGGCAAAGAACCUGAGUGCAAACUGGCUAUUUGUGACACACACUGCCGUUGGUCGUCAUCCAUCAAUUGAAACUCGUUCUCACUUCCUUCUGACCUCAAGUUGCUAGUCGGACUGUAAACAAUGUCUUGGUGUGGAUAUCUCCUCGCUACAUUGGACCCCCCCUGAAAGAUUGGGACUUGCCGCCAGAUUCUAAAUUGCAACCAAGACAACAGAUAUUGUGUUUUAACUGUAUUAGCGUCUUUAAGGGUGGGAUCGACAAAGUGGCCAAUAAAAUUAGCAAUGUCUUUAUGUCAGACUACGUGGCUAUGUCAUGCUGUUAUAACGGUUUUAAUGGGGUUGACGUAGCGCAAAAAGCCAUGGGUUAAAAAUGCAAUGUAAGUCGCUUUGGAUAAAAGCGUCAGCUAAAUGACUUGUAAUGUAAUUUAAGUCAUAACAAACAUUUAUGUGUGAGACGGUUGUUUAGUCUGAAUGGUUUCUCCGCACUCUUUAAGGGAGGGUGUGGUUUGCCUCUUUAUUGUAUAUUAGAGUACAAUUAAAGUGUAAUUACAUAUGUUGGUUUAAAGUUCACAAACCGUGCUGCCAUUGCACAUUUAACGUGUUUCUUACUCCAUUUUGUUUACAGUUCCAAAUGUAUAACACUAAUUUCACAACUGGUAUUUUCUGCAAACGUUUUCAUUGUUGACUCUUUAGGUGUAAGCGAGGAUACUUUAGUGGUAAAUGAGCUCUUGGUUUGGUUUGUAACAUGAUGACAUCUUGCACAUAGUUGCCUUUCUUCACAAUGUGUGAAUGUUGAAUUCUAUCUGUACAUGUUAUAACUGGCAAAAAGACCCUACAAGCGGCGAUUAGCUUUCAAGAAAGGUGGGGAUAAUAAAAAAAGACCAACACCAAUAUUUUGUUAAAAUUGGUGCAAGAAAACACUCCUUUCCUGACAUUUAUACCAAGGGACAAAUGAUUACUGUUUAUUUUUACAAUUACAAUUCCGUCUUUGUCAGCCCACAGAACACAAGUGGGCAUUCAGCCAGAAGCAGACAUCACACCCACACUCCAGUGGUGGUGAUUAGUGAAUUUGGAAACUAAUGUUCUCUUGCCCCAAUAAUGAAGCAUUUAAUACACAGCCCUGGGAAUGCACAUCAAGCAUGGGGCAAUUCAACUCUGCUCCAACAUCUACUGGAAAGUAAAAAAAUAAGGAAAUGUUGCUGCCACAAGCUCAAGCUAGACCUCACAAAGAAUCAAAGUUCAAUGUGGACAUGGUUUGAUAUAAAAAUCUGUUGGCGUGUGUGGAACUGAUGUGUAUGUAUUUUUUUCAAUGGCAAGCUAGAGUGCAGAGAUGGCUCAAUGAUUGUUUUGUUUUUAUUUUAGUCCGUUGGAUUGGAGAUUCCAUGCUAAAAACAUGAAAAGCAUUUGAAAAGCCAAUUAAUAUAGCACUGCUAAUGCUAGUAUGUCAUACAAGUCUCCAGAUGUUUUCAACAUUUCUUUUUGACAUUAAUUUGUGUUGUCUCGAAACGGCAAUUAAUGACAUGGUGUUUCGGAUAUUGGAAUUAAGUUAAAUAAAUGCCAAGUCUGAAAGUCUAAA
Long non-coding RNA from Gasterosteus aculeatus aculeatus (three-spined stickleback), 4238 nucleotides. RefSeq lists it as uncharacterized. Lineage: Eukaryota; Metazoa; Chordata; Actinopteri; Perciformes; Gasterosteidae. The record is from RefSeq and is a predicted model, not a curated record.